Molecule: ribosomal RNA, 494 nt
Filed under: uncultured bacterium
Lineage: Bacteria
Description: partial 16S ribosomal RNA
Rfam family: Bacterial small subunit ribosomal RNA
Source: RNAcentral
GACGAACGCUGGCGGCGUGCCUAAUACAUGCCAGUCGAGCGGACUUACAAAGCUUGCUUUUUAAGUUAGCGGCGGACGGGUGAGUAACACGUGGGCAACCUGCCUGUAAGACUGGGAUAACUUCGGGAAACCGGAGCUAAUACCGGAUAAUCCUUUUCUACUCAUGUAGAAAAGCUGAAAGACGGUUUACGCUGUCACUCACAGAUGGGCCCGCGGCGCAUUAGCUAGUUGGUGAGGUAACGGCUCACCAAGGCGACGAUGCGUAGCCGACCUGAGAGGGUGAUCGGCCACACUGGGACUGAGACACGGCCCAGACUCCUACGGGAGGCAGCAGUAGGGAAUCUUCCGCAAUGGACGAAAGUCUGACGGAGCAACGCCGCGUGAGUGAUGAAGGUUUUCGGAUCGUAAAACUCUGUUGUUAGGGAAGAACAAGUACGAGAGUAACUGCUCGUAACUUGACGGUACCUAACCAGAAAGCCACGGCUAACUACGUG